GGCGCUCCCUACCAACUAUUUUUCCAGGCUCCACUCGUGGAUCAUAUCUUUUAUCUCUCUCCUUCGUUCUUCUUCCUUCCUCCUGUUUGUGUAUUUUUUGAUGUUCGUAAGUCAACAAUUGGUGCUCUAACUUGAAAAGAAUAUAAGCGAUACCAGAAGCUGCAAACAUGCUUUCCCAUAUAAGGAAAAAGUGGACAAGCCUUUGGAGGGAUAGAGAACUUUUACUAUAUUAAAGGAUGAAAGGAGUAUUUAUAUGUCUUAAAAAGGAAUAUUUUUCUCAUAAGAGGUGCAGGUUUCCAUCACUUAUCCCCUUAUAUUCUUAUAGCGUAAUGGUUGAUCUCUCUCAUAACCUUUAUUUUUCGCCAUUUCAAAAGUCUUGUUUUCUGUUGAUGCUGCUAAUAGUUAGAAAGCUAAAUGCAGCUAAAUAUUUCUUGCAGAGUAACAUAAACACUUAUUCGUGGAUGCGAUCUGCAGCAAAUAUUUUCAGUUAAAUGUUUUUAAUGAUAUCUAUUCUUUGUAUUACAUAACCUUGGUAGAUUCUUUUUUUUUUUAGUAUUUUGACCUUGUCAAGGUAGAAGCUACUUAAAUAUAAAAAUCUAACUGAGUUAAUUUCUCACUUCAGUAUAGGCAUCUGCUCAGUUGAAAAAAAAUGCCAAAUAUAGUUGUUCGUCUACCUACAAUACUAGGUAUUUUGAAGUUAUCAUGACUCAUAAGCAUGGAUGGAACUAAUCAAUUGAAUCUUUUGAUGCUCAAAAUCUGAAGAUAUCUCAUGUCUUAAAGAUUUUGGAGAAAUAUAAUACUAUUAUAAAGGUUGAUGUAACUACUAUCAAAAGCCUUGCAUUUGAAACUAAUUCAGAAUCUUUGUUAUCCUGGUAAUGAAGUAGUGAGAUGAAAGCUUAUUAAAGAGAUUGACACUCUUAUGAAUAUAUCCUGAGCAUUAUGCUCGAUAUCUCCUUUGAAAGGAUAGAAAAAUCUUUGAAACAAUAGUUGAUUCCUUUAGUUGCUUUCAAGAGAAACUGUUUAAGCUAUGCAUUUCAUUCAUCCAUUGCUGAUGGAAGUGGUAAAAGUGCAUUCACUCGAAAAAGAAUGUAAGAUAAUGUUGCAUUAGCAUCUUAAGAUGAAUACUUUAUACAUAGAACUGGGGCAUUCUAAUCCCUUAAACAAAGAACAACAUUCCAAAAAAAAAUCACCUCCAAAGAGAGUCACUACCAUAUGUCGCAUCAUGAAAGUGAUGAAAUUACUCUGAUCUCUAAAAUUCUUUUAAUGGUGUACAAAUGAGGAAUUUUUUGGGAAUUCCUGAAGUCUAUUAUUGCUUGCCUUUCUAUUCAAAGUUUCCAAAAAUUUCAUAGUUAAUUGAAAUUUCUAGAGGUAUAAUAUUUAGAAUGUUUUUAAAAUAAAAGUCAAACUGAUCUUUUUUAGGAAAACCUUGAUUACCUGGUGCCUUUUGAAGUCUUUUAGUACCCUACUUUUGUGUUUUUCCUUUGUGGCUUACCCUUUGAAAACCCAAUCAACCACAGUUCUAUUUGUUCUACUACUUCUCUUAUGUCUCUUUAUUACCUCUUUACUCGAGCACACACAUGUGCUGCCUCUCAAUUUCUUUGAUUGUUCUUCCUACUUCAUAAUAUAUAUCUUUUUUAUUUUUUGCACUUUCAGUUCAUAGUAUAUUCAUUUCAAAUGUAUGUAAAAAUUCGGCUUCCCAUUGAUAAGAAUACCCAUCAUCUCUUCUUCCCUCUUUCGUUCUUGCUCAGUAGCAUUUUUUUUGUAUGAUUGCCUUAUCUAUCUCCUUGAUUUUUGGUUAGUAUUAUUACUCUUUCAGUCUUUCUGGCUUUGGCUUAUUAGUUUUUUCUUCCUGCUUUUUUCGCUAAUUCUGCUCACACAUGGACUUGUGGCUAACUGUUCUUAGUGAAUUUGAUUUUAGAGAUUUGAUCAUAUUACAAUAGUGUCAAUGUUACAAUUAUUGCAUCAUAUGCAAAUCACAUCUUUUUGUACUUGCUAACAUCUUCAUUUCGGUUCUCUUUUUUCCGUUUUUAUUCAUCGUGGCCCUGGGAUUAAGGAUAAGGCAUGCGCUAAAAUGCAAAAUUUUCUAAUGAAAUUGUUUUGUAUAUUCAGUUUACUAAUGGUUUAUGAUAUGAGCAUCUAUAGCCUCAGCUUUGCAUUCACACCAACAGUUUUGCUCAUAAUUUCUGUGCUUCUUUCGUUUCAUUGUGGCAUCAACUUAGUGGAACCUUACAUUAAAAAGGUCAUACAUUCUAAACAGUUCUAUUGGUUAAAUAUGUCUGCCUGUAGGAAAGAUUGGUCUUGUCGCCAAUAUCAGUUAUGAAUGCUUUAUUGUUGACCUUUAUUGAACUAUAAAAUUUCAGAAAGCAGAGAUUUUUGUUUUAUCUGUUUCUAAUUUUUGCAGGGUGGAAAAAGUACGACAGAGAAUUGUCAGGUUUUCCAAAUGUGACUUCUUACAUACUAAACAUAUCUGUUUAUGCUUUAUAUGGAGUACUCCAAAAAUUCUAGCUGCAUUUUGGCAUACUUAUGGUUGCCCUAUUGUUUCCUGAUUCAGUUGAAUCAUUUUUAUAGUAAUCUACACAUAAGUAUGGGUUGCUUUAGAAAAGAAGAUCCAAUUCUAAGCUAAACUAAUCUCUUCUAUUAAGCAAUAUGAAGAGUUGUAUUAUCCAAUAGGAAAGUUGCCAUUUCUAAACAUGUUUCACACCCUAUUCUAGGAAUCUUCCAUUUUAUUCUAUUCUUUUUUCUUUUUCUUUUUUACUUUUGAAAUUUGACUUAUCCUUUUUGUUUUCGUUAACUUUAUAUCAGGCAUAACUCUGGUAUUCCAGGUUUUAGUCUCUCUUCUACUUGUUCUUUCUACUUUUCCAAUUAAAAUUUCAUAAUCUUUGGUGUUUGAAAAUUUUCGAAUGUCACCCGAAGGAAAAUAAAUCAAAUUUGUCAAUGAUAUUGGUUUUGAAACUUUAUAUAUUUAUAUAGUUCACCUGAAUAACUCUUGCUUCAGAUUGUAACUUUCAGCGUGGUGAGGGGAUGAUCUUCAGGUGUAUAAUAUGGGAGCAGCUUUCUCAUAUUUCAUCCAUUGGAAGCCCCAAACCAAAUUGUUACUUACAACUUACAAGUUACUCCUAUUGAAAUUUCUUUUGUAAUUUUCUGGUUCAUACUCAUUGCCUUCGAUGUCUCAUCUAAUAUUCAAAUUCAAUGUUGUCAUGCACGUCGACUUGGAGCUUUUGCAUGUGCACAUUACGUUCUCAUUGUACCUUCUCUUUUGUUCCUUUUGGCUACAGAGAUGAAACCUAAUCAAAUAAACCUCCUCCACUGUAGGCAUGAAAAUAUUCCAAACUCCCAUUAUUGUAAACCUAAGACCUCGACUUAUUUAUCACCAUAUAUUCUUUGAUGAGUUUGAUUUA
Nicotiana attenuata is the source of this 3398-nucleotide long non-coding RNA. RefSeq lists it as uncharacterized. The record is from RefSeq and is a predicted model, not a curated record. The transcript has 3 exons. Lineage: Eukaryota; Viridiplantae; Streptophyta; Magnoliopsida; Solanales; Solanaceae.